GUUUAUUUUAAUAACAAUCUCCCUGAAUAUCAUUGGGAAAAAUGUCAAAAAAAUCACGAACUUUCAAAUUUGGGAUGAUUUAAUCUUGAACUCCACGGAAGACAAAUAAAUCGUAAAGUUUUUGUUGACUUUCAAAAUAAAUAACAAAGUUUUUGUUGACUUGCCAUUUGAGUCAUGUCGUUAAAUAGGUUAACAGAAUUAUUUUACGGCGUUAAUAUCUCGUGUAUCUGCUCUGUUAGAACAAAACGACAUCGUUUAUUGCAGAGACAAAGGAACGUCGUUUUGUUUGUUGAAACAAAUUUAAACCCUAAAUCCCCAAAUCGAUUUAUUAUCUGCGAUUUUGAGGUCAAGGUGGGUCUGUGAUUUUGAGAUAAUGAAAUCGAUUUGGGGAUUUAGGGUUUAAAUUUGUUUCAAGACAAAACGACGAUGUUUUGUCUCUGCAAUAAACGACGUUGUUUUGUUCUAACAGAGCAAAUAAACGAGACAUUAACGCCGUAAAUUUUUUCUGUUAACCUAUUUAACGACAUGACUCAAAUGGCAAGUCAACAAACACUUUGUCAUUUAUUUCGAAAGUCAACAAAAACUUUACGAUUUAUUUAUCUUCCGUGAAGUUCAAAAUUAAAUCGUCCCAAAUUUGAAAGACAUUUUUCCCGAAUAUCAUUUAUGAAUU
Molecule: small RNA, 670 nt
Filed under: Arabidopsis thaliana (thale cress)
Lineage: Eukaryota; Viridiplantae; Streptophyta; Magnoliopsida; Brassicales; Brassicaceae
Description: ATSL177740
Source: RNAcentral